Long non-coding RNA from Takifugu rubripes (torafugu), 2742 nucleotides. The record is from Ensembl. NCBI's taxonomy places the organism in Eukaryota, Metazoa, Chordata, Actinopteri, Tetraodontiformes, Tetraodontidae.
UGAUGAUGAUGAAGCCUGAAGGCAAGUUCCUGCUGCAGAGAUCAUCAUCCUCUUGUGAACCUCUGAACAGGUCACACAAGCUCCAGAUUCCUCAGCUCCCAACAGAGAAAGGCCCAUUCUGCCGAAGUUUUUGGUGCGGCUCCUUCGAUGGAAUCCGUAUGAGCCCGGCCAAUCACGUCGCGGAUUCAGAAAUUCCAAAGCCAAUCGUCUGCGUGAUUCCAUCUUUCAGCAGCGAAUCGGAGAUCUUUCAAAAGAAACUGUAAAGUCAAACUUUCCAAAAGCCAAUCGAUUGUGCGACUAAUUUCUGGACAGCAAAUUAAACUGCGGUCUCAAUCUUUAGAAAAGCCAAUCGAUUCUAGAGUUUUUUAGAAUUUAAAAAUCUGCCCGCUGCUUAUUCCGGACAUGUUACAUUCAGUAGGGUGUUUACAGGGGGCAUAACAAUGCUUUUUUGGGAUGUUUAAGGUACCUAGUGUGUUUUCUGCUUUAAUGAAUUAUUGCAGGCAACAUUAGAGAAUGCUGGAAAGAAAAAUAUUAAAAUCCUUGAACAGCACUACUCAAAGAGCACUUAUUUCAUUACUUUGGGCAAAACUGCAGCAAUAAUAAGAAACAACAUUGACACUUUCGACUUUAUUUUGGUUGUGUGUGAUUUUCUGGGAGGACUAGUGUUUGAUUUCAUAUUAAAACAUUGGUUUAACUUCAACCUGGAUCGGUUGGGCUCUGUCAGUGGGUCAUGAAGAUAAAUGGUCUGUUCCUCACCUGAAGAAUGGCACUACAUGUAUCAGGAGGUAAGAUUGUUCUGGGUUUUGGAAUCUUCAACUAACCAAAACACCCUAACGUAGUUACGUACUGUAGUGUACGUGAUGUCAUCAGUGCGCGACCCCCUUCGGCUCCUUCGAUUACCCGAUGAGCGCAAAGCUGGAUAAACCCAGCCAGUCGUCUGCGCGAUUCAAUCUUUCGACAGUGUUCCCCGGCUUAAAUUAAACUGCGGUCUCAAUCUUUGGAAAAGCCAAUCGAUCCUAGAGUUUAUUUAGAAUUUAAAAUCUGCCCGCUGUUUAUUCCGGACACCUCCGUGGAUUUUGACAAGGAGUUUAUGGGUUGACUGAUUGGAUGACGUCACUUCUGGAUAGACGACAUCCGGGGUCAUUUUCACCUGUUCAGAGGUUCACAAGAGGAUGAUGAUCUCUGCAGCAGGAACUUGUCUUCAGGCUUCAUCAUCAUCAUCACUCAGUUAUAGGGACCCCCAUCACCCCUGUUCCAGCCUCUCAGCGUCCAGGGUCAGCUGUUGGAGCAGGUCCAGGCCUUGAAGUGUCCGGGGACAGAGGUGGACACCUGCCAUCAUCACAGAAACUGUGAUGAUCCUUCAAGAUUUCAUCCAUGAUCAAACAUAAAACGACCCACACUCUCUCUCUCUCUCACACACUCACCCUCAUCUUCUCACACACCUACACAGUGAAAGACGUGUUCAGCAUCCUUCGGUAGCUCAGCGGUAGAGCGGAGGACUGUAGGGGACCAUCACAGGAAUCCUUAGGUCGCUGGUUCAAAUCCGGCUCGAAGGAAGGCCUUUUGUGUGACCUGCUGAUGUCACUCCUGCUCUGACACUGUCAAAAACAGCUUCCUGGAGCAGCAAAUGUCUUCAGAAACUCACCUCACUCAUUCCACAGGAGACGAAGUGAGUCUGAGUGACUCGCAGGAGCCGAACCUUCAGACAGUGAAUGUUCAUAUUUCACAACACCACGAUGUCACAUUUGACCUGGCUUCUCUGGAGCAGAACACUAACAACAGCUCCUGGGUUGCUGGUUUGAAUCUGGCCUGAUGGGAAACCUUUUGUUGCCAAUAGAAUGUAUAAUGAGAUCAAAGGUGCUGUUUGGCCCUCAGGGGCCUGGAGUCAGCUCCCUCCUCCCCACUGGACGGCUCGUUUUUGAUGUUUGAUUGUUUCUGUGCAACAUGUAAAACCUUCACGCUGGAUUUGAACUGGCAACUCAAAGAGCCCUGUUACAGAGGCACAACAGGCCUCUGCUAUCUGCUCUGCUCUGGCUGUUGUUGACAGUGUGAUGGUCAGAGCAGGAGUGACAUCAGCAGGUCACACAAAAGGCCUUCCUUCGAGCCGGAUUUGAACCAGCGACCUAAGGAUUCCUGUGAUGGUCCCCUACAGUCCUCCGCUCUACCGCUGAGCUACCGAAGGAUGCUGAACACGUCGUUCACUGUGUAGGUGUGUGAGAAGAUGAGGCUGAGUGAGAAGGUGUGUGUGUCUGUGUGUGAGGGUGAGUGUGUGUGACAGAGUGUGGGUCGAUUUAUGUUUGAUCAUGGAUGAAAUCUUGAAGGAUCAUCACAGAAACUGUGAUGAUCAGUGUUGAAUUAUUGCUGCUGACGCUCUGAGUUUUUGAUGAUGAUGAAGCCUGAAGGCAAGUUCCUGCUGCAGAGAUCAUCAUCCUCUUGUGAACCUCUGAACAGGUAUAAAUGAACCCGGAUGUCGUCUAUCCAGAAGUGACGUCAUCCAAUCAGUCAACCCAUAAACGUGGGUACGUGACGUCAUCAGUGCGCGACCCACUACGGCGCCUUCGAUAGCUCAGCGGUAGAGCGGAGGACUGUAGCGGGUCGGUCACAGGAAUCCUUAGGUCGCUGGUUCAAAUCCGGCUCGAAGGAGAAUUUAUUGUAACCAAAUGAGUCCUUUUGAUCGCGGAAACUUGAUUAAUGUGACAUCAUCAGAUCGAGAUUAUGGAUCAGCUUCCACUCAGUGAUAUU